GACGAACGCUGGCGGCGUGCCUAAUACAUGCAAGUCGAACGAACUCUGGUAUUGAUUGGUGCUUGCAUCAUGAUUUACAUUUGAGUGAGUGGCGAACUGGUGAGUAACACGUGGGAAACCUGCCCAGAAGCGGGGGAUAACACCUGGAAACAGAUGCUAAUACCGCAUAACAACUUGGACCGCAUGGUCCGAGCUUGAAAGAUGGCUUCGGCUAUCACUUUUGGAUGGUCCCGCGGCGUAUUAGCCAGAUGGUGGGGUAACGGCUCACCAUGGCAAUGAUACGUAGCCGACCUGAGAGGGUAAUCGGCCACAUUGGGACUGAGACACGGCCCAAACUCCUACGGGAGGCAGCAGUAGGGAAUCUUCCACAAUGGACGAAAGUCUGAUGGAGCAACGCCGCGUGAGUGAAGAAGGGUUUCGGCUCGUAAAACUCUGUUGUUAAAGAAGAACAUAUCUGAGAGUAACUGUUCAGGUAUUGACGGUAUUUAACCAGAAAGCCACGGCUAACUACGUGCCAGCAGCCGCGGUAAUACGUAGGUGGCAAGCGUUGUCCGGAUUUAUUGGGCGUAAAGCGAGCGCAGGCGGUUUUUUAAGUCUGAUGUGAAAGCCUUCGGCUCAACCGAAGAAGUGCAUCGGAAACUGGGAAACUUGAGUGCAGAAGAGGACAGUGGAACUCCAUGUGUAGCGGUGAAAUGCGUAGAUAUAUGGAAGAACACCAGUGGCGAAGGCGGCUGUCUGGUCUGUAACUGACGCUGAGGCUCGAAAGUAUGGGUAGCAAACAGGAUUAGAUACCCUGGUAGUCCAUACCGUAAACGAUGAAUGCUAAGUGUUGGAGGGUUUCCGCCCUUCAGUGCUGCAGCUAACGCAUUAAGCAUUCCGCCUGGGGAGUACGGCCGCAAGGCUGAAACUCAAAGGAAUUGACGGGGGCCCGCACAAGCGGUGGAGCAUGUGGUUUAAUUCGAAGCUACGCGAAGAACCUUACCAGGUCUUGACAUACUAUGCAAAUCUAAGAGAUUAGACGUUCCCUUCGGGGACAUGGAUACAGGUGGUGCAUGGUUGUCGUCAGCUCGUGUCGUGAGAUGUUGGGUUAAGUCCCGCAACGAGCGCAACCCUUAUUAUCAGUUGCCAGCAUUAAGUUGGGCACUCUGGUGAGACUGCCGGUGACAAACCGGAGGAAGGUGGGGAUGACGUCAAAUCAUCAUGCCCCUUAUGACCUGGGCUACACACGUGCUACAAUGGAUGGUACAACGAGUUGCGAACUCGCGAGAGUAAGCUAAUCUCUUAAAGCCAUUCUCAGUUCGGAUUGUAGGCUGCAACUCGCCUACAUGAAGUCGGAAUCGCUAGUAAUCGCGGAUCAGCAUGCCGCGGUGAAUACGUUCCCGGGCCUUGUACACACCGCCCGUCACACCAUGAGAGUUUGUAACACCCAAAGUCGGUGGGGUAACCUUUUAGGAACCAGCCGCCUAAGGUGGGACAGAUGAUUAGGGUG
RNAcentral lists this ribosomal RNA (1489 nucleotides) under Lactiplantibacillus argentoratensis. Its description in RNAcentral is "bacterial SSU rRNA". It matches the Rfam family "Bacterial small subunit ribosomal RNA". The record is from RNAcentral. Lineage: Bacteria; Bacillati; Bacillota; Bacilli; Lactobacillales; Lactobacillaceae.